Molecule: microRNA precursor, 58 nt
Filed under: Saccoglossus kowalevskii
Lineage: Eukaryota; Metazoa; Hemichordata; Enteropneusta; Harrimaniidae
Description: Sko-Mir-210_pre stem-loop
Source: RNAcentral
AGUUGCCGGAGCAUUGCACAACAAUUUUUAUGUAUGUUGUGCGUGCGACAGCGACUUC